This 913-nucleotide ribosomal RNA is filed under the name uncultured Actinomycetes bacterium. RNAcentral describes it as "uncultured actinobacterium partial 16S ribosomal RNA". Lineage: Bacteria; Bacillati; Actinomycetota; Actinomycetes. The record is from RNAcentral.
UCCCCGUCAAUUCAUUUGAGUUUUAGCCUUGCGGCCGUACUCCCCAGGCCGGGGCGCUUAAUGCGUUAGCUGCGGCACGGAACCCGUGGAAUGAGCCCCACACCUAGCGCCCAACGUUUACGGCAUGGACUACCAGGGUAUCUAAUCCUGUUCGCUACCCAUGCUUUCGCUCCUCAGCGUCAGUAUCGGCCCAGAGACCCGCCUUCGCCACCGGUGUUCCUCCUGAUAUCUGCGCAUUUCACCGCUACACCAGGAAUUCCAGUCUCCCCUGCCGAACUCAAGUGAUGCCCGUAUCGACCGCACGCCCAGAGUUGAGCCCCAGGUUUUCACGGCCGACGCGACACACCGCCUACGAGCUCUUUACGCCCAAUAAUUCCGGACAACGCUCGCACCCUACGUAUUACCGCGGCUGCUGGCACGUAGUUGGCCGGUGCUUCUUCUCGACCUACCGUCACCCACACCAGAAAUGCGAGCUUCGUCGAUCGCGAAAGAGGUUUACAACCCGAAGGCCGUCAUCCCCCACGCGGCGUUGCUGCGUCAGGCUUCCGCCCAUUGCGCAAGAUUCCCCACUGCUGCCUCCCGUAGGAGUCUGGGCCGUGUCUCAGUCCCAGUGUGGCCGAUCACCCUCUCAGGCCGGCUAUCCGUCGUCGCCUUGGUAGGCCAUCACCCCACCAACAAGCUGAUAGACCGCGGGCCCAUCCCCCACCGAACCAAAUCUUUCCACACCCCCACAUGCGUGGAAGUGUCCCAUCCGGUAUUAGACCCAGUUUCCCAGGCUUAUCCCGAAGUGGAGGGCAGGUCACCCACGUGUUACUCACCCGUUCGCCGCUCGUGUACCCCGAAAGGCCUUACCGCUCGACUUGCAUGUGUUAAGCACGCCGCCAGCGUUCGUCCUGAGCCAGAAUCAAACUCU